Pygocentrus nattereri (red-bellied piranha) is the source of this 368-nucleotide long non-coding RNA. RefSeq lists it as uncharacterized. Lineage: Eukaryota; Metazoa; Chordata; Actinopteri; Characiformes; Serrasalmidae. The record is from RefSeq and is a predicted model, not a curated record. The transcript is spliced from 3 exons.
GUGAUUCUGCUUUUUUAUGAAAUGUUGAACCCUAUCAGGUUGAAUGCUAAGCGGUGUUGUCCUACAACUGAGUGACCAUUCAGAUUUCACUUCUGCCCUGGCUGUCCAUUCAGCCAUAUUAUGUGUCCAGUUGUACUAUGAAUUUAUCCAGAGAAGAACUGCAGAGCAGAGUGCACUUCCAAAGUCCAGGUGAGCAGAAAGACUGGCAAGAUGGUCCAGUGAAAGAAUGACUUCAUCAAACCACAUGUGGAAUUGUUCAUCAGGGACUGGCAGAACAACUAAUUCCAGAAGAAGAUUCCAGCCCAGUAAUAGGGUUCCAGCCUGGAAAGAUGCAUCCAUUUCAUGAAAACGAUUGCAGUACAGGAAGC